Long non-coding RNA from Perognathus longimembris pacificus (Pacific pocket mouse), 670 nucleotides. RefSeq lists it as uncharacterized. The record is from RefSeq and is a predicted model, not a curated record. The transcript has 3 exons. NCBI's taxonomy places the organism in Eukaryota, Metazoa, Chordata, Mammalia, Rodentia, Heteromyidae.
CACGAAAGCUGUGCCCUUCUGUGAUGAGAAUGGAAGCAUGUCUUGAAUGUCCCCUGCCCUCCAUGUCAGACCAUCGCAGCUCGCUUCUGUGGAGUUUUCCUGGAGAUACUGCCUCGGUGACCAGACAGAGCAGUGGUUCUCCAUCUUGGCCCCUAGGCCAGCUGUAGCUGCACCUGAGUACUCUGCCUUAAAAGCCCUUGCCCUGUGGGAGUCUCUGGUGCAUAUUAGAAGUGGAGGGCUAUCUACCGGGUUCCCUCAACCACCUGUCGAGUAAGAUGUCCCAUUUUGUAGUCAUGGGGAGGGGGGAGUACUCAAGAGGGAGCACUUGGCUGAAGGGAGCACUCAGCAGGAGGGAAAUCUCAGCUUCUCCUUAUGUUGAUCUAUCAAACAGACAUUGUUAAGAACAGGUGUGUCUCCCAUUUUCCAGACAGAGCCUGUGGAAGUUAUGUCAAGCCAGAACCCAUGGUUUAUAGAACAAAUGACUUGACUAGUGUAGUCAGAUAAAAGAUAGGGAAGAUUCUGACAGGUCCCUGUCCUUUACUUAGCCUGAAGAAGGUAAGUAUCACCUGUUCAUUGUCUCCUAUUUCAGUCUCCCAGGAGUCAGCAGCUGAGGUCCAUGGUAGUUGCUUCCAUGCUCCUUGCUCCCUGCUCCCUGCUACAGUCUCUCCAU